This 253-nucleotide ribosomal RNA is filed under the name uncultured bacterium. Its description in RNAcentral is "partial 16S ribosomal RNA". It matches the Rfam family "Bacterial small subunit ribosomal RNA", at positions 524 to 776 of the family's 1533-position model. The record is from RNAcentral.
UACGGAGGGUGCGAGCGUUGUCCGGAAUCAUUGGGCGUAAAGGGCGCGUAGGUGGCCCGGUCAGUCAGUGGUGAAAGCGCGGGGCUCAACUCCGCGUCGGCCAUUGAUACUGCUGGGCUUGAGCACUGUAGAGGCAGGCGGAAUUCCGGGUGUAGCGGUGGAAUGCGCAGAUAUCAGGAGGAACACCAAUAGCGAAGGCAGCUCGCUGGGACGGUAUUGACGCUAAGGCGCGAAAGCGUGGGGAGCAAACAGG